UACGUAGGUGGCAAGCGUUAUCCGGAUUUACUGGGUGUAAAGGGCGUGUAGGCGGGGACGCAAGUCAGAUGUGAAAACCACGGGCUCAACCUGUGGCCUGCAUUUGAAACUGUGUUUCUUGAGUACUGGAGAGGCAGACGGAACUCCUAGUGUAGCGGUGGAAUGCGUAGAUAUUAGGAGGAACACCAGUGGCGAAGGCGGUCUGCUGGACAGCAACUGACGCUGAGGCGCGAAAGCGUGGGGAGCAAACAGG
RNAcentral lists this ribosomal RNA (253 nucleotides) under uncultured bacterium. Its description in RNAcentral is "partial 16S ribosomal RNA". It matches the Rfam family "Bacterial small subunit ribosomal RNA", at positions 524 to 776 of the family's 1533-position model. The record is from RNAcentral.